Molecule: ribosomal RNA, 307 nt
Filed under: uncultured bacterium
Lineage: Bacteria
Description: partial 16S ribosomal RNA
Rfam family: Bacterial small subunit ribosomal RNA
Source: RNAcentral
AGACAGCAGUCGCCGCGGGAAUACGGAGGGUGCAAGCGUUAAUCGGAAUUACUGGGCGUAAAGCGCACGCAGGCGGUCUGACAAGUCAGAUGUGAAAUCCCCGGGCUUAACCUGGGAACUGCAUUUGAAACUGUCAGGCUGGAGUCUUGUAGAGGGGGGUGGAAUUCCAGGUGUAGCGGUGAAAUGCGUAGAGAUCUGGAGGAAUACCGGUGGCGAAGGCGGCCCCCUGGACAAAGACUGACGCUCAGGUGCGAAAGCGUGGGGAGCAAACAGGAUUAGAGACCCCGGUAGUCCCUGUCUCUUAUAC